Diceros bicornis minor is the source of this 140-nucleotide small nucleolar RNA. The record is from RefSeq and is a predicted model, not a curated record. NCBI's taxonomy places the organism in Eukaryota, Metazoa, Chordata, Mammalia, Perissodactyla, Rhinocerotidae.
CAUCUCCCAGGAUCGUGUCUGGAGAGUGGCUAGUACUCUGCCAGCUUCGGAGACGGGAGGGAAAGCAAGCCUGGCAGAGGGACCCAUUCCAUUCCCAGCUGUCUCAGUAGCUGGUGAUUGGAAGACACUCCACAACAAUG